This 305-nucleotide ribosomal RNA is filed under the name uncultured bacterium. RNAcentral describes it as "bacterial SSU rRNA". It matches the Rfam family "Bacterial small subunit ribosomal RNA", at positions 335 to 637 of the family's 1533-position model. The record is from RNAcentral.
AGUACCUACGGGGCGCAGCAGUGAGGAAUAUUGGUCAAUGGCCGAGAGGCUGAACCAGCCAAGUCGCGUGAGGGAAGACGGCCCUACGGGUUGUAAACCUCUUUUGUCGGGGAGCAAAGCGAGUCACGUGUGACUCAUUGAGAGUACCCGAAGAAAAAGCAUCGGCUAACUCCGUGCCAGCAGCCGCGGUAAUACGGAGGAUGCGAGCGUUAUCCGGAUUUAUUGGGUUUAAAGGGUGCGCAGGCGGAGGUGCAAGUCGGCGGUCAAAUUGCGGGGCUCAACCACGUACGGCCGUUGAUACGGAA